CCUAAGGUAGCGAAAUUCCUUGUCGGGUAAGUUCCGACCUGCACGAAUGGCAUAAUAAUGGCCACACUGUCUCCUCCCGAGACUCAGUGAAAUUGAAAUGUUUGUGAUGAUGCAAUCUCCCCGCGGCUAGACGGAAAGACCCCAUGAACCUUAACUGUAGCUUUGCAUUGGACUUUGAACCGAUCUGUGUAGGAUAGGCGGGAGGCUUUGAAGAAUGGACGCCAGUUCAUUCGGAGCCGUCGUUGAAAUACCGCCCUGAUUUGUUUGAGGUUCUAACCUGGGCCAGUAAUCCUGGCUGGGGACCGUGCAUGGUGGGCAGUUUGACUGGGGCGGUCUCCUCCUAAAGGGUAACGGAGGAGUGCGAAGGUACGCUAAUCACGGUCGGAAAUCGUGAGGAUACUGCAAUGGGAAAAGCGUGCCUGACUGCGAGACAGACAAGUCGAGCAGAUGCGAAAGCAGGUCAUAGUGAUCCGGUGGCUUCUGUAUGGAAGGGCCAUCGCUCAACGGAUAAAAGGUACUCUGGGGAUAACAGGCUGAUACCGCCCAAGAGUUCAUAUCGACGGCGGUGUUUGGCACCUCGAUGUCGGCUCAUCUCAUCCUGGGGCUGUAGUCGGUCCCAAGGGUAUGGCUGUUCGCCAUUUAAAGAGGUACGUGAGCUGGGUUUAAAACGUCGUGAGACAGUUUGGUCCCUAUCUACCGCGGGCGCUGGAAGAUUGACAGGGGCUGCUCCUAGUACGAGAGGACCGGAGUGGACGCACCUCUGGUGUAUCGGUUGUGACGCCAGUCGCAUUGCCGAGUAGCUAUGUGCGGAAGAGAUAACCGCUGAAAGCAUCUAAGCGGGAAACUUGCCUGAAGAUUAGUCUUCCCGGAGGCUUGACCUCCCUGAAGGGUCGUCCGAGACCAGGACGUUGAUAGGCCAGGUGUGGAAGCGCUGUGAGGCGUGAAGCUAACUGGUACUAAUUGCCCGUGCGGCUUGAUCCU
This 981-nucleotide ribosomal RNA is filed under the name human gut metagenome. RNAcentral describes it as "bacterial LSU rRNA". It matches the Rfam family "Bacterial large subunit ribosomal RNA", at positions 1950 to 2925 of the family's 2925-position model. The record is from RNAcentral.